GUUUAGGGGUAAACUGAAAAACCGAAAGGUCGAAGGGAGAAAUUCAUCGCGUGUCGACGGUGACAUCGGACAUUGUUGUGUGACGGAAAUGUGUUUACACAUUUUCGCGCCCUUUGUUUGAUUAAUUGACGAACGCGUGCACUUUUCUCCUGGUAGGACGUCGCGAUCCGUUGGGUGUCGGUCUACGGCUUGCGGUGGAGCCCGUUUGUCAUUAUUGACGAAUGGACCCGCAUUGUUCCCGGCCGACUCGCUCGACGGUAUAAGAAAGGUUAGAGGCCGCUCGAUUUGGAGCGUUCGACUCGUGGCAAGCGCGCCAGAUGCGUUGGCAAUCGGACCUGGUGCCGUUUCUGACCUCUGGUGACUGUUGGCUGCGAUGUUCUCGGACAGACCUCAAGACCGAUCUGCGACGCUAUAGCUUUGGGUACUUUCAGGACCCGUCUUGAAACACGGACCAAGGAGUCUAGCAUGUACGCAAGUCAUUGGGAAUCACUAAACCUAAAGGCGCAAUGAAAGUAAAGGUCUUCCUUGCGGAGACCGAGGGAAGACGGGCGGUUCUACCGUUAAAAGUGGCCGCUCAGCAUUCCCGGGGCGUCUCAUUCUCAUUGCGAGAAGAGGCGCACCAAGAGCGUACACGCUGGGACCCGAAAGAUGGUGAACUAUGCCUGGUCAGGACGAAGUCAGGGGAAACCCUGAUGGAGGUCCGUAGCGAUUCUGACGUGCAAAUCGAUCGUCGGAACUGGGUAUAGGGGCGAAAGACUAAUCGAACCAUCUAGUAGCG
RNAcentral lists this ribosomal RNA (778 nucleotides) under Dendroctonus frontalis (southern pine beetle). RNAcentral's name for it is "eukaryotic LSU rRNA". It matches the Rfam family "Eukaryotic large subunit ribosomal RNA", at positions 386 to 952 of the family's 3401-position model. Lineage: Eukaryota; Metazoa; Arthropoda; Insecta; Coleoptera; Curculionidae. The record is from RNAcentral.